Molecule: unclassified non-coding RNA, 353 nt
Filed under: soil metagenome
Description: partial contains 5.8S ribosomal RNA, internal transcribed spacer 2, and large subunit ribosomal RNA
Rfam family: 5.8S ribosomal RNA (bases 4-121)
Source: RNAcentral
GAUUGAAGAACGCAGCGAAAUGCGAUAAGUAAUGUGAAUUGCAGAAUUCAGUGAAUCAUCGAAUCUUUGAACGCACAUUGCGCCCGCCAGUAUUCUGGCGGGCAUGCCUGUUCGAGCGUCAUUACAACCCUCAGGCCCCCGGGCCUGGCGUUGGGGAUCGGCGGAAGCCCCCUGUGGGCACACGCCGUCCCUCAAAUACAGUGGCGGUCCCGCCGCAGCUUCCAUUGCGUAGUAGCUAACACCUCGCAACUGGAGAGCGGCGCGGCCAUGCCGUAAAACACCCAACUUCUGAAUGUUGACCUCGAAUCAGGUAGGAAUACCCGCUGAACUUAAGCAUAUCAAUAAGCGGAGGA